CCUCAGGGAGUGUAGCAGCACCUUGGAAGUCUACGGUGCUUCCCUUCCCCGGAAUUGUGUGUUCUUUAGAAGAAGAUUUGCUGAAAAAGCCCAGAAGAGACUCUGGUGGUCAGUCCGAGCCUGAAGCAGCACGCCGUUUCAUUGUGAGUCUCGUAAAAGAGGAUAGUGAUCCUUAAGAUAGGCUCCAUGAUGUUUCAUUGGCUGUAAACACCAGAAGACAAAAGUUCUUAAAAAGGCAACUGAUUCGAAGGAAAAGAGUGGCAUACCAUCUGAGUGAGCAGUUAGCAGACAGAAGCACACUGACAAAAGUAGAAUGUGAAAAUCUUGUUAUCUCGAGACAAGUAGACUUGAGUGGAAAUAAGCAUCAAGCAAAAAACGACACACGGACA
Mastomys coucha (southern multimammate mouse) is the source of this 389-nucleotide long non-coding RNA. RefSeq lists it as uncharacterized. The record is from RefSeq and is a predicted model, not a curated record. Lineage: Eukaryota; Metazoa; Chordata; Mammalia; Rodentia; Muridae. The transcript is spliced from 3 exons.